GCAUUCUUGUGGCCGUUUUGUGGGCCUGCGUGCUUUUUAGGCAUGGGGUCUGCGGAGUUAGCAGGGGGGUGAG
RNAcentral lists this transfer RNA (73 nucleotides) under Barbatia virescens. RNAcentral describes it as "tRNA-Lys". The record is from RNAcentral. Lineage: Eukaryota; Metazoa; Mollusca; Bivalvia; Arcoida; Arcidae.